AACUGGGGUGAGCGAAAGCUUGCCACGGACGUUGAACACUGGGUGGGUUGAAAGACUUGCUCAGUUUCAAUUCCACCAGUUCUCUGCAGAAGGUGACUCUCUGCUCUUGACUGGGUGGGGGUGUUCGCCUCUUGCCGUUUACUUUGAAAAAAUUAGGGUGUUCAAAGCAGGUUUUAAUUGCCGGUAUAGAUUAGCAUGGGAUAAUGGAAUACGGCUCGGUUGCUGUGUCUCGUUGGUUGAGUAGCUGGGCA
Molecule: ribosomal RNA, 251 nt
Filed under: uncultured fungus
Lineage: Eukaryota; Fungi
Description: partial small subunit ribosomal RNA
Source: RNAcentral